This is a non-coding RNA of Podarcis lilfordi (Lilford's wall lizard), 4277 nucleotides long. Lineage: Eukaryota; Metazoa; Chordata; Lepidosauria; Squamata; Lacertidae. The record is from the annotation of a GenBank genome assembly.
GGUUACCUUGCCAAGGCCUAAAACUGCCAAAGUUGUGACAAAAUGCAGUUAAGGCGAAACCUGCCAAUGCAGGGGAAAUUCCUUCCCGGUUCUGAAUUCAGCAACCAUCUUACGACCGCAGCAGUGCCCGCUGACCUGGAACGCAAAAUAUUAGCCUGUAAGGAAAAGAAUCAUUAACUUGAGGACCGCUAACCUAGGAUGAAAUUAUGGAGGCAAGAAAUUAUUAAUUUGAGGGAGGGUGGGUGCGUGCUCCUGGAAGGAAGAAUAGCAAAAGAGGCUUGGACAAAGAGUCAGCCUCUUUUCUUUUGGCCUUGGGCCGUCCAUUGUCCUCCCUGGCCGAGGGCGGGUCAAAGGCCGGCUCAAGCAGGUGGGUGGCACCCGCCCAGGUGAGCCCCGCUCGGUGCAGCAAACCCUGCCCACCUGUGGGGAAGGGAGGGUGGAUAUUCUGGAAUGGCUACCUGUCUGGCACUCAGGUAUCAGGAUGCCAGGGAUUAUCACUCAGGCAGAGGAGCUGAGCUCACAUGUCUACAGUGGUACCUCGGGCUACAUGCGCUUCAGGUUACAUACGCUUCAGGUUAUAGACUCCGCUAACCCAGAAAUAGGGCUUCAGGUUAAGAACGUUGCUUCAGGAUGAGAACAGAAAUCGUCCCCAUUAGCUAAAGUGGUGCUUCAGGUUAAGAACAGUUUCAGGUUAAGUACGGACCUCCAGAACAAAUUAAGUACUUAACCUGAGGUACCACGGUAUAUGAAUUUCUGAAGUUUUCCCAGUGAGCCAGUACAGAGAUACAUUGAUCAGUGAAUUCUUACAUUUGGUAUCGUGCAGCAGAGGCCCUUUGAAUAGACAGGAAGAAACUGUGAUGAAGUGUUUUGUGGGGACAAAUCACCAAAGUCACAGAAGUGAUGGCGCUGAUUUUGGUAGUUGGUGCAUGAUAUCUGCUGGAGGGGCAACAUCCCCCCAACCUAUACAUAAAUUCCUGCAACAGAGGCAAGUCGGGGUGGGGUGGGGGAAACGAGACCUUGCCCAAACACACACAAACACACACGCCUCGUGCUCCUUCCUUGAGUCCUGCGGCCACAGGAAACAGGUGCCCAGGCCUCUCUCCAAGCCAGCAGAACCGCCUUCUCCGCUGGUGAGUCAUCCCAGGGCAGAACGGCCGCCAGCGCCCAUCGUCACCCUGGCACAAGGCCCUUUUCCUUCCUGUUCAUCUCGCUUGUUCUGUGUAAGCGCCGUCGCGGUUUCAUCGAGGCGGACAAAAAAAAAAUCACCUUUUGCAGAAAUGGUUUCCAGACAUGGAAGUCACGACAAGGCGCGAAUCAUUUCAAAGCAGUGGAAAUCCACGAAUGGGGUGACUCCAGUCCCGGAUUUACGUAUAAGCUAAACAAGCUAUAGCUUAGGGCUCCAUUCUUUUGGGGACUCCCCCAAAAUAUACUUCUUCUGUGGGUUACAAAAUCACAGAGCCUAGGGCUUGCUGAUCAGAAGGUCGGCGGUUCGAAUCCCCACGACGGGGUGAGCUCCUGUUGCUUGGUCCCUGCUCCUGCCAACCUAGCAGUUCGAAAGCACAUCAAAGUGCAAGUAGAUCAAUAGGUACCACUCCGGCGGGAAGGGAAACAGCGUUUCCGUGCGCUGCUCUGGUUUGCCAGAAGCGGCUUAGUCAUGCUGGCCACGUGACCCGGAAGCUGUACGCCGGUUCCCUCGGCCAGUAAAGCGAGAUGAGCACCGCAACCCCAGAGUCAGCCACGACUGGACCUAAUGGUCAGGGGUCCCUUUACCUUUUUAAUUAAUAUACUACUUCUUAAUUGUAUCUCAGUUCCACAAUUACUUUGAUCAAAUACAUAUUUUGCUUGGAACCCAAACAUUUCAAACCCGGAAGUAAGUGUUCCAGUUUGCGAACUUUUUUUCGGAAACCGAACGUGCUCCGUUUGGAGUGUUACGCUUCUGUUUUGAGUGUUACGCUGAGGUCUGUUUGUUUUUGCUAUUUAUUUUGAGGUUUUGUUUUCGCUCUUUUUCGUUUUGUUUUUGUGACUGUGUGGAACCCAAUCCAGCUACUGAUUGACUGAUUGGUUGUGUGACUGCGGUACAUUGUUUAUUGCUUUCAUUUUUUGGAUCAAUGGUCUCGUCAGAGAGUAAAAUCCAUGUUAAAUUUGCCGUUUUAGGGGUUGUUUUUAAAAGUCUGGAACGGAUUGAUCCGUUUCCCACUACUUUCCGUGGGAAAGCGCACCUCGGUUUUGGAACGCUUUGGUUUUGGAACGGACUUCCUGAACGGAUUCAGUUUGAGAACCAAGGUACCACUGGAGGUUGCUCUGUGCCAUCAAAUAAAUGGGUAGGCCUUCCGUCAGCUGGCUGCUAGGCGGGGGAGCAAGAGGCAGAGUUUGGGCCAUAGCUGUCAACUUUCCCCUUUUCUUGCGAGGAAUCCUAUUUGGAAUAAGGGAAUUUCCCUUUAAAAAAGGGAAACAUUGACAGCUAUGGUUUGGGCUGUGAGCUGAGCUGGGAAAUAGGAUGGAAGGUGGAGACACAGAGCCCCAGCUUUGUGCUGGGUCCAAAUCUGCGACUAAACGGCAAAGCAAGGUCUGUUGGGGUGUUGAUGCUGUGAGCCUCUCCCUCCUCUGCUCAGGUUGCGCACAUGCGUAAAUAAAACUAUAUAUCCCAAGGAUGCCACAGGCUCCGUGAACAAGCUGAUGUCCGUAAAGGAUAUGUCAAAAGGUUAUUUAUGUCCGCCGCUACUGCGGCCCGUGUUCCAAAAAUGGAAAAUGAGCGAGGUCCCAACCGAAGAAGAAUGACAACUUAAACUGGCGGAAUAUGCGCAGCUUGCGCACCUAACAUAUAGAGUAAGACCGUGGGGUCCAAACUUUUUUCAAAGAGGGCCGGUUUUGAAGAAGUGAAGAGCCAUGAGGGCCAACCAAAAUUAGUCACCUUUUUUUAGGGUUGAAUUUGUUGGUCUUUUUUAGGAUUUUACCCUAAAGUUGUGUUGUUGUUGCGUUUUUUUUUAGGAUUGAACUUGUUUUUUAGGGUUGAAAUUCUUGAGCUUUUUCUGGGAUUGAAGCUUUUUUGGGGAUUUUACCCCAGGAAAUAAACUGCCCACGGAGGCCAGAUUAAUCCAAUCGGCAGGGCUGAAUUAGGCCCCCAAAAUGGACUUUGGACAUGCCUGGAAUAAGGGAACAAGAAAAACAUACGUUUAGAGAAGAUUGGAAAAUGUUAAUUGAAUAUAUGGGGGGGAUUGUUUACACUUGAAAAAGCUGGCAACAUUAAGAUAAAUUCAACAGCGUAAACAAGUUUUGAUGGAUUCAGUAAGGGAAUGCUGAAUGGUUCGUUGCUGUUGUUUAGUUGUUUAGUAGUGUCCGACUCUUCAUGACCCCAUGGACCAGAGCACGCCAGGCACUCCUGUCUUCCACUGCCUCCCACAGUUUGGUCAGACUCAUGCUGGUAGCUUCGAGAACACUGUCCCACCAUCUCGUCCUCCGCCGUCCCCUUCUCCUUGCACCCUCCAUCUUUCCCAACAUCAGGAUCUUUCCCAGGGAGUCUUCUCUUCUCAUGAGGUGGCCAAAGUCUUGGAGCCUCAGCUUCAGGAUCUGUCCUUCCAGUGAGCACUCAGGGCUGAUUUCCUUCAGAAUGGAGAGGUUUGAUCUUCUUGCAGUCCAUGGGACUCUCAAGAGUCUCCUCCAGCACCAGAAUUCAAAAGCAUCCAUUCUUGGGUGAUCAGCCUUCUUUAUGGUCCAGCUCUCACUUCCAUACAUCACUACUGGGGAAACCAUGGCUUUAACUAUACGGACCUUUGUUGGCAAGGUGAUGUCUCUGCUUUUUCAGAUGCUGUCUAGGUUUGACAUUGCUUUUCUCCCAAGAAGCAGGCGUCUUUUAAUUUCGUGACUGCUGUUACCAUCUGCAGUGAUCACGGAGCCCAAGAAAGUAAAAUCUCUCACUGCCUACCUUUCUUCCCCUUCUAUUUGCCAGGAGGUGAUGGGCCCAGUGGCCAUGAUCUUCGUUUUUAAUGCAGGGAUUUAUGAUAUGCAAAACGAACCAUGGAAAGAGAAGAAGGGAAGGCAUGGAUAUUUUAAGGUUGUCUACAUGUAUAUUUUAAAUUGUGAAGCAGAAAAUUUAAUAAAAAUUAUACGUAUAUUAAAAAAUGAUAGGCCAAUGUUGUGAUUGUGGUGCCUGCGCUGUCGUUGUGUGUCAGGGGCUGGGAGGAUAACGGAUUGGGACCUCAUCCUUUCUCUCCCCUUCCAAAUCCUUUCUCCGCAGGAAGUGGGUUGCUCCGGCACGGCGCUAAAAAUAUCCCAGCAGG